Small nuclear RNA from Phocoena sinus (vaquita), 107 nucleotides. NCBI's taxonomy places the organism in Eukaryota, Metazoa, Chordata, Mammalia, Artiodactyla, Phocoenidae. The record is from Ensembl.
GUGCUUGCUUCGGCAGCACGUAUACUAAAAUUGGAACGACACAGAGAAGAUUAGCAUGGCCCCUGCGCAAGGUUGACGUGCAAAUUCGUGAAGCGUUCCAUAUUUUU